RNAcentral lists this ribosomal RNA (208 nucleotides) under uncultured bacterium. Its description in RNAcentral is "partial 16S ribosomal RNA". It matches the Rfam family "Bacterial small subunit ribosomal RNA", at positions 114 to 334 of the family's 1533-position model. The record is from RNAcentral.
CACGUGGAUCAUCUACCUCUUAGUGGGGGAAUAAACUCUGGGAAACCGGAGCUAAUACCGCAUAAGCCUGGAAAGGGAAAGCAGCAAUGCGCUGAGAGAGGAGUCCGCGGCCGAUUAGCUAGUUGGCAGGGUAAAAGCCUACCAAGGCAUUGAUCGGUAGCCGGCCUGAGAGGGCACACGGCCACACUGGCACUGAAACACGGGCCAG